RNAcentral lists this ribosomal RNA (393 nucleotides) under uncultured bacterium. RNAcentral's name for it is "partial 16S ribosomal RNA". It matches the Rfam family "Bacterial small subunit ribosomal RNA", at positions 523 to 918 of the family's 1533-position model. The record is from RNAcentral.
AUACGGAGGAUGCGAGCGUUAUCCGGAUUUAUUGGGUUUAAAGGGAGCGUAGGUGGGAUAUUAAGUCAGCUGUGAAAGUUUGGGGCUCAACCUUAAAAUUGCAGUUGAUACUGGUUUCCUUGAGUACGGUACAGGUGGGCGGAAUUCGUGGUGUAGCGGUGAAAUGCUUAGAUAUCACGAAGAACUCCGAUCGCGUAGGCAGCUCACCGGGCCGGAACUGACUCUGAUGCUCGAAAGUGCGGGUAUCAAACAGGAUUAGAUGCCCUGGUAGUCCGCACAGUAAACGAUGAAUACUCGCUGUUUGCGAUACACUGUAAGCGGCCAAGCGAAAGCGUUAAGUAUUCCACCUGGGGAGUACGCCGGCAACGGUGAAACUCAAAUGAAUUGACGGGG